RNAcentral lists this ribosomal RNA (253 nucleotides) under uncultured bacterium. Its description in RNAcentral is "partial 16S ribosomal RNA". It matches the Rfam family "Bacterial small subunit ribosomal RNA", at positions 524 to 776 of the family's 1533-position model. The record is from RNAcentral.
UACGAAGGGGGCUAGCGUUGCUCGGAAUCACUGGGCGUAAAGCGCACGUAGGCGGACUCUUAAGUCAGGGGUGAAAUCCUGGAGCUCAACUCCAGAACUGCCUUUGAUACUGGGAGCCUUGAGUUCGGGAGAGGUGAGUGGAACUGCGAGUGUAGAGGUGAAAUUCGUAGAUAUUCGCAGGAACACCAGUGGCGAAGGCGGCUCACUGGCCCGAUACUGACGCUGAGGUGCGAAAGCGUGGGGAGCAAACAGG